GAUUGACAAUAAGAUGUGGAUGUUCAUCUUUAAUGAACUCUAGUAACCAAAGUGGAAACCAGCUAACUUUGAUGGUGCGACUGACCACCUUCUCAGCAAUAGCUGAGUAUUUACUCCUUCUUGAAACGAGCAAGCCUGUUAACUGUGAAAGUGAAGAGAUGAAGCAAGCAAAAAACAAAGAGAAGUGUGAAGAGAUUCACUGCCAUAUCAUCUAUGACACUGUAUCAGCUCCUACUUUUAGGAUCCAUGAGUGAAUAGAUAACGACUGGUUGGUUGGUGACGGCACCGAGGCGGGAGGAUUUUGGUGAAGCAGACUGAUGCAGCACGGGAGCGUGGAGCAGACGACGGUCGGUGACUCUCUGGGGGGAAGCACUGAACCUGCGGCUGGUUCUGCCGACCCCAACACAAGGUCCCUUCUCUGGGAGGCUUGAGGGUGAGGUGAUGCCCGCCGGAGAGGGACAAAGGACAUGAUCAGAGCACCUCUAAAGUGCUUUUCUUCACGAAGGCAAGGCAAGGCUGGAAGACAAGGAAGUGUGACCCAGUGGAGAAGCGUAUUCUCACAACGCGGCACUACGCUGGCAACCGUGACUGUCAGCAAAACACCCCCUGUUCUGACUGUCAAAACUCAAGUGAAGAUAAGCUUACAAAAAAGGUUAGUACACAUCCUGACUUGAUUUAUUUUUGAGUCCUUUUUGGCCCAGUUUCUUCUUCUCCACACUUCCUAGAACAACAAAAGGCCGGAGGCAGGUGUCGGGAUGGCACUGGUUUUUCUCAUUUAAUCUGUGAGGCACAGUAAAAAACAAUCAAUAAUCAUGGACCAUGCUCUGGAUUUGUCUAAGCAUAAGUGACUCAAAUACUAACACGUGAAUUUAGUAAAGUUAGAGUCUGUGGAGUGGAGAUAAAUUACAGCAGCAAUUGAAGUUGAAUGCGAUGUAGAAAUCCAACCAACAGAAGACUGUCUGGAAACAAUUAUUUAGAAAGCUGCUGACCCUCUAUUUCUUUAAAGAGUUAAACAUUUGGAUUGGUUAACUGGCAGCCGCAAUAAUAGGCAUAUGCUCUAAUCUUUGAUCCGUAGCUGAAUUUGCAACUCUUUGUAUGAGAAGCAGAUCACAUAGAUUUGCAUAUUUUUAAGGAUCUGUAGGGAGAAAAAGAAGAACAAAAACUGCUCUUCCAAGAUGCCACUUUGAGAUCACACAGAGUGUCAUGGGUCCCCCGAAGUACACUAAUGUUCAGAGCCAGAUGCAAGACUCACAGAUUUUAUAAAUGGCCCUAAACUGUGACAUGCACAUCUGAAGUUUAAUCAAAAUUCCUCCUAGAACAGAGAAUUGCAAGCCGAGGUUGUAUUGUAACUCUUCACAGAGGUAUGUAUGUCUGUCAUUAAGAUCUCAUUUCCACGUCCAAA
Harpia harpyja (harpy eagle) is the source of this 1402-nucleotide long non-coding RNA. RefSeq lists it as uncharacterized. The record is from RefSeq and is a predicted model, not a curated record. The transcript has 3 exons. NCBI's taxonomy places the organism in Eukaryota, Metazoa, Chordata, Aves, Accipitriformes, Accipitridae.